Molecule: ribosomal RNA, 251 nt
Filed under: uncultured prokaryote
Description: partial 16S ribosomal RNA
Rfam family: Bacterial small subunit ribosomal RNA
Source: RNAcentral
UACGGAGGAUGCGAGCGUUAUCCGGAUUUAUUGGGUUUAAAGGGUGCGUAGGCGGCUUAGUAAGUCAGCGGUGAAAUUUUGCAGCUUAACUGUAACAGUGCCGUUGAUACUGCAUGGCUAGGAUUUGGUUGCUGUGGGUGGAAUGCGUGGUGUAGCGGUGAAAUGCUUAGAUAUCACACAGAAUAUCAAUUGCGAAGGCAGCUCACAAAGCCAAGAUUGACGCUGAGGCACGAAAGUGUGGGGAUCAAACA